This 491-nucleotide ribosomal RNA is filed under the name uncultured bacterium. RNAcentral describes it as "partial 16S ribosomal RNA". It matches the Rfam family "Bacterial small subunit ribosomal RNA", at positions 30 to 507 of the family's 1533-position model. The record is from RNAcentral.
GUGAACGCUGGCGGCAUGCUUUACACAUGCAAGUCGAACGGUAACAGGCCUUCGGGUGCUGACGAGUGGCGAACGGGUGAGUAAUGCAUCGGAACGUACCCAGAGGUGGGGGAUAACGCAGCGAAAGCUGUGCUAAUACCGCAUGUGAUCUGAGGAUGAAAGCGGGGGACCGAGCAGCAAUGUUUGGCCUCGCGCCUUUGGAGCGGCCGAUGUCGGAUUAGCUAGUUGGUGGGGUAAAGGCCUACCAAGGGGCCGAUCCGUAGCUGGUCUGCGAGGGCGACGAGCCAGGCUGGGACUGAGAUACGGCCCUGACUCGGGCGGGAGGGAGCAGUGGGGAAUCUUGGACCAGGGGGGGAGGCAGGCUCGAGCAAUGGCGCGUGCGGGAAGAAGGCCUGCGGGUAGUGAAGCGCUUCUGGCAGGAAGGAACCGGUGUCCGAGAAGAGCGUGCGCUAUUGACGGGACAGGAAAGAGAGGCACUGGAGAAUGAGGUG